CCAACAAAGCUCAUGUAUAGCUGCAUCCCUGCAGCCAGUACCUACAACUCGCAGCUGUUGACACCAUGCCCAAGAAAAAGGCUGAAGGAUGAAACAAGGUUAAGAACAGACCACAGAAAAGAUCCACAAGAUUGUCUGCUAGACCUCCUUCUCCAAAGCUAGAGCCCAAGCCAGAAAAGGCCCCUACAAAGAAGGGAGAAUGUUUAUAUAAAGAGAAAAAGAGAAAAACUUAUGUCGGCAAGGAUGGAAAUAACUUUGCAAUAAACAAAGAUGUCAAAACAGACCAAGCACAGAAAGUUAAAGGUGUUCUGAGAUGACAAGUGAAGUGUGUGCAUUUUU
RNAcentral lists this long non-coding RNA (339 nucleotides) under Homo sapiens (human). Its description in RNAcentral is "non-protein coding lnc-SERPINI1-12:1". The record is from RNAcentral. Lineage: Eukaryota; Metazoa; Chordata; Mammalia; Primates; Hominidae.